This 1241-nucleotide ribosomal RNA is filed under the name Rathayibacter sp. LeLB539. Its description in RNAcentral is "bacterial SSU rRNA". It matches the Rfam family "Bacterial small subunit ribosomal RNA", at positions 92 to 1344 of the family's 1533-position model. The record is from RNAcentral. Lineage: Bacteria; Bacillati; Actinomycetota; Actinomycetes; Micrococcales; Microbacteriaceae.
UUAGUGGCGAACGGGUGAGUAACACGUGAGUAACCUGCCCUUGACUCUGGGAUAAGCGCUGGAAACGGCGUCUAAUACCGGAUACGACCUGCCCCGGCAUCGGGUGCGGGUGGAAAGUUUUUCGGUCAAGGAUGGACUCGCGGCCUAUCAGCUUGUUGGUGAGGUAAUGGCUCACCAAGGCGACGACGGGUAGCCGGCCUGAGAGGGUGACCGGCCACACUGGGACUGAGACACGGCCCAGACUCCUACGGGAGGCAGCAGUGGGGAAUAUUGCACAAUGGGCGAAAGCCUGAUGCAGCAACGCCGCGUGGGGGAUGACGGCCUUCGGGUUGUAAACCUCUUUUAGUAGGGAAGAAGGACUUCGGUUUGACGGUACCUGCAGAAAAAGCACCGGCUAACUACGUGCCAGCAGCCGCGGUAAUACGUAGGGUGCAAGCGUUGUCCGGAAUUAUUGGGCGUAAAGAGCUCGUAGGCGGUUUGUCGCGUCUGCUGUGAAAACCCGAGGCUCAACCUCGGGCCUGCAGUGGGUACGGGCAGACUAGAGUGCGGUAGGGGAGAAUGGAAUUCCUGGUGUAGCGGUGGAAUGCGCAGAUAUCAGGAGGAACACCGAUGGCGAAGGCAGUUCUCUGGGCCGUAACUGACGCUGAGGAGCGAAAGCAUGGGGAGCGAACAGGAUUAGAUACCCUGGUAGUCCAUGCCGUAAACGUUGGGCGCUAGAUGUGGGGACCUUUCCACGGUUUCCGUGUCGCAGCUAACGCAUUAAGCGCCCCGCCUGGGGAGUACGGCCGCAAGGCUAAAACUCAAAGGAAUUGACGGGGGCCCGCACAAGCGGCGGAGCAUGCGGAUUAAUUCGAUGCAACGCGAAGAACCUUACCAAGGCUUGACAUAUACCGGAAACUUCCAGAAAUGGUUGCCCCGCAAGGUCGGUAUACAGGUGGUGCAUGGUUGUCGUCAGCUCGUGUCGUGAGAUGUUGGGUUAAGUCCCGCAACGAGCGCAACCCUCGUUCUAUGUUGCCAGCACGUCAUGGUGGGAACUCAUAGGAGACUGCCGGGGUCAACUCGGAGGAAGGUGGGGAUGACGUCAAAUCAUCAUGCCCCUUAUGUCUUGGGCUUCACGCAUGCUACAAUGGCCGGUACAAAGGGCUGCGAUACCGUAAGGUGGAGCGAAUCCCAAAAAGCCGGUCUCAGUUCGGAUUGAGGUCUGCAACUCGACCUCAUGAAGUCGGAGUCGCUAGUAAUCG